Molecule: long non-coding RNA, 1298 nt
Filed under: Olea europaea subsp. europaea
Lineage: Eukaryota; Viridiplantae; Streptophyta; Magnoliopsida; Lamiales; Oleaceae
Source: RNAcentral
AUCCCCAAUUCGCAUUCCAGAAGAGAGAGGAUUCACUAUGCUUUGAACUCUCCCUCUGUGCUUACUUUCCCAAAACAACCCUUGCAAACAAUGUAAUUACACCGAUGAAGAAGAAAACAACUCACUCGUCGGCUUCGUCGGAGCCACAGUAGAAUAUAAUAUAGUAAGCGCGGUGAAGGUUUAGAUGUGAAGGAAACUGCCUUGGUGUCACUUGAGUUAUUACAUCCACUCCCGAAGACUGCUGACCUGUGUGUUCAAAUUGCUAGAAAUUUUGCACCUGUGGUGGAAAAACGGGUGAAGCAUGAAUUUGCCGUCACUGGAGCUAAGGUUAACAUCAUCUCACUCAUAAAACUCCAUUUAUGCAUUCAAGCAAUUUUUCUGUCUAAAAAUUGAUUAUAUAUACAUUGAUCAUGUGAUUAUUUACAUAUGAGAUCGAUCAUUACUAUAUUGAAUACAUGAAUGCUAUCGAUGUGUGAAAUUGAAUAAUUUUACCUUUAUCUCAUCUUAGAUCAAACAAAUAGACUACUGUUGUUAUUUCUAAACUUCUACCAAAAGUCUUAACAGAGUAAAAUAGAUACUAAUUAUCCAACAAGUGUUUGUCAUUUUUUGAAUUUCGUCACUUUUUGAGAGUUUGUCACAUUUUUUGAGUUUGUGUCACUUUUUUCUAUUUGUCACUUUCUUAUGUUUUGUCACUUUUUUUUUAAUAUGUGUAACUUUUUUAAAUUACAUAAAUUUUUUAAAUUAAAUUUAUGUCAAUUUUUUUUUUUAUUUUGGUCACUUUUUUAGUACUUGUCAAUUUUUUUGAAUUUUGAUAACAUUUUUUUUUAGUGUCUGUCACUUUUCUUCAAUUGCAUUUUAUAAGAAAAAAAUACUGUCAUUUUUUGAAUUUUUUGUCACUUUUUUUGUAAUUGUCACUUUUUUGAAUUUUUUUUUUCAUUUUUUAACUAUUUGCUAGCAUCAUGAAUGCUGAGAGUUUGCUGCAGCAUUGCAUUGUAGGUCGUCAGCACUGUCACGACACUACUGCUACAGCAUCAAUGACUUCAGCAUCGGCAUAGGGGGUUUAUGGUUUUUGGGUGUUAAUUCUUCCUCUUCUAGUAGCUGUAGCAUCGACGCCAGCACUAUUUUGGGUUUUGGGGUGUUUUCUUCCAAUUUUAUCUACUUAGCCGAAGGUUUUAUGGUUGUUUACCUGUUUUUAGUUUGCAAACCAGCUACAUGGUUGAUUUGUGACCAAAUAUUGGUAGUGGAUUGGGAUUGAGGAUAAGGGUGAAGUGUUUGGUGUAUGUGAUCAACUAUUAAAU